GACGAACGCUGGCGGCGUGCUUAACACAUGCAAGUCGAACGAAGUGGCGAACGGGUGAGUAAUACGUGGGUAACCUGCCCUCCUUUUUGGGAUAAGCCUUGGAAACGGGGUCUAAUACCGAAUAAAGGGGGAUGGGCUCGCGGCCUAUCAGCUUGUUGGUGGGGUGAUGGCCUACCAAGGCGGUGACGGGUAGCCGGCCUGAGAGGGUGAACUGCCACAUUGGGACUGAGGUACGGCCCAGACUCCUACGCGAGGCAUCACUGGUGGAUAUUGCAGACUGAGCGAAAGACGGAUGCGGCGGCGCCGUGAGGGGGAUGAAGUCUUUCGAGGUGUAAACCUGUGUCGCUAGCGAUCGGUUAGGUGAACUAGAAGCGCUGCCGAACCACGUGCCAGCAGCCGCGGUAAUUC
RNAcentral lists this ribosomal RNA (408 nucleotides) under uncultured bacterium. RNAcentral describes it as "partial 16S ribosomal RNA". It matches the Rfam family "Bacterial small subunit ribosomal RNA", at positions 28 to 526 of the family's 1533-position model. The record is from RNAcentral.